AGGAGAAUCAAGAGCUUGCUGAAAGAGUGAUGAUAACACGGCUUCAUCUGUAUGGCAAAGGGAUUAAGAAAUGUGAUUAUGCUCAAAUAUACAACGAGAUUUCGGAAGAGAACUUGGAGCUGAUGCACGAGCGGUUAAUGGAAACUGUGGUUUGGCCCUCCGAUGAUACAAACCCUGAGAAGAGUGGCUGAGGGGAUGCAUUUGCAGUUGUUUUAGAUUCUUCUUUCCCUUUAAUUUAGCCUUGGGUAUCCAUCCUUUCUAUAGAAUCUCCAUGUUUGGUCCCAAACAAUGUUUUCACUUACAGGUUGAACUCUGUAUGCUAUGAAUUGUAUAUAAAUUAUGAAUAUUACCCAUGGUGUAACAUUGUUUUAUUGAAAGAAGUAAUGGAGGUUUUGGGACUGAUGAAUGCCAAACUUAUUCAUUCAAUCAACUUUGGCUACGGUA
This is a long non-coding RNA of Hibiscus syriacus, 444 nucleotides long. RefSeq lists it as uncharacterized. NCBI's taxonomy places the organism in Eukaryota, Viridiplantae, Streptophyta, Magnoliopsida, Malvales, Malvaceae. The transcript is spliced from 2 exons. The record is from RefSeq and is a predicted model, not a curated record.